Molecule: long non-coding RNA, 1297 nt
Filed under: Homo sapiens (human)
Lineage: Eukaryota; Metazoa; Chordata; Mammalia; Primates; Hominidae
Description: uncharacterized LOC105375553, transcript variant 2 (LOC105375553)
Source: RNAcentral
AGUAGUUAUCAGGGACUGGAGAGAGGGAAGAAUGAGAAGUGACUACUUCAUGGAUACAAGGUUUUCUCUGGGGGUGAUGAAAAUAUUUUGACAUCUGAUAAAGGUGGUGGUAGUACAGCACUGUGAAUGUACCAAUUGCCACUGAAUUGUGCAUUUUAAAGUGAUUGAUUUUAUGUGGAACAAAUUUCACUUUAAUUAUAAAAAGUGAAUAAACUUUUAGAAGCUAACCUUGGAAGAAGGUAGAGACUGGAAGGGAUCACAAGAAAGGCUUCUGGGAUGUUGGUUGAUUUCUCUAAGAAGUACAUGCUGAAAUGAAGAUAAGAGUACAAAAUAUUUAUCGGAGAGUAGUAACACAGAGGAGACACAGGAUUUGGCAGAAACACUAAACCAUGGUGAAGACCGGCUAAAGUCUCUUUGUCCAAAGGGGAGCUCUAAAGUAAAUAUGAGCCAUUAAGGGAGCCCCACACUGGAUGGAAAUGGCCAAGCCUUUUUACAACCACCUUCUCCUUGAGACACUGCCUGCAAUUCACCCUGGGAAAGCAAAACCUCAACUGUUUCUGCCUCAUUCAUUCUUUGUCAGUGCCGUAAGAAGAUUGAGAUUUCAGCUUGUAACUGUUGAAGCAAAACCUAAAGUGGUUAAUAAUGGGAGUUUGUCACAACUAUCUUAACACAAAUAUAAAAUAUUUGCAUGAACUGUAAUAACCUUUUAUUUAUAAAUUAAAAACUUAUUGAUAAAAUACAGAUUUCAAUAACAUUAGUAAAAAAUCUUUUCACUUUUCUUAAGUAAUUCAGAAUAGAUCAUCUUUCAUUUUAGUUCCUACACUUGAUCCUUAGAAGAAAAAGAAACCUAUUUUUUUUAUAAUGCAAACACUUUAGUUUAACAUAAACAAGAAAAAGGGAAGACUGGCUGAGAAAAAAAAACUCUAAAAACCAUCUAGCAUAUUCAAAAGAUAAUUCAUGCCUUUGAGAUCAUUUAAGCAGUACAUCACCUUUAGUUAUAAAGAGAAAUGUGAAACUAUUUUUACAAUUAAUUACAUCUAUCAGCAGGAAAUAAAAUGUAUUCAAAAUUGACCUGUAUAUGAGUGAUGGUUGUAACAGAGUUAUUGAUUUUUCCUGUUGGGAAAUGCCAUCCAAAACUGGCAUGAUCUUUUCAAGUAAACUCAAAAUCCGAACAAUGUCUUCAAAAGUAGGCAUGUUGUUAACAAUGGUCCCUGCUGUUUUCUAUGAAUGGGCAGUAAUAUUCUCUAUAACAUUAGCCCUUGGAAAUUAAAAUGUCCUUUGUUGAAAACAGAGAAAU